Molecule: long non-coding RNA, 375 nt
Filed under: Brassica napus (rape)
Lineage: Eukaryota; Viridiplantae; Streptophyta; Magnoliopsida; Brassicales; Brassicaceae
Description: long non-coding RNA (BNAP_LNC009952)
Source: RNAcentral
UAGCGACCUGAUCGGCGCUGGAUCGGUCGCUACCUAGCGACCAAACGAAAGAUUUGGUCGGUCGCUACGUAGCGACCGACCGAGUGACUUGGCCGGUCGCUACUCGUUCGCGGACCAGUAGCUAUGUGGCGACCUUGUUGGGAACCUUUUCUGACGUUUUGUGAACGUGUUCUUGGACUACGAGUGUUUAGUUUCGAUGAAUCAACCGAGAUUAGUAUAAGAUUUCACCGCAAAAUUCUUCGUAAAAGUAAUCUUUACGAAGAUUACUUUUCGUAAAAACGUUCAUGUUGAUUUUUACGGAUAUUUGGAUGUUAACUUCGUCGUGUCCGUUUUUGACCCCAACAGUAUGUCCCUCUAUCAGUGAUGAAGGCUGUU